Diachasma alloeum is the source of this 341-nucleotide long non-coding RNA. RefSeq lists it as uncharacterized. The transcript is spliced from 3 exons. Lineage: Eukaryota; Metazoa; Arthropoda; Insecta; Hymenoptera; Braconidae. The record is from RefSeq and is a predicted model, not a curated record.
CUAGAUGAAAUAUAUACAUUUCUGAAGCAAUGUCUACCCGAAGAGCAAUCGAAGAGAAUUGAUGAAGAACAACGUAUCAGUUUGCAGGACAAUGUAACAAGAGAAAUGUUUAAGCGAGCAUGAAAAAUGGAAUUGAAAUCCUUAUCUGCAGAAAAGGAUGAAGAAUACGGAGUUAAACGAAAAUGUUAACGUAGAAGGAGGAGGAAGACGUCGUGAAACAAGUUUGUUUGGUGACAGCAUUUGAGUGUAGAUGUGUUCCUGAGAGAUGUGUCAACACUUCUUUUCCCGUCAAUACAUGAUUAAUUCAUACAUCAUUAAUUCCGUUCCACUAUUUAUUACAA